GACGAACGCUGGCGGCGUGCUUAACACAUGCAAGUCGAACGGAAAGGCCCUGCUUUUGUGGGGUGCUCGAGUGGCGAACGGGUGAGUAACACGUGAGUAACCUGCCCUUGACUUUGGGAUAACUUCAGGAAACUGGGGCUAAUACCGGAUAGGAGCUCCUGCUGCAUGGUGGGGGUUGGAAAGUUUCGGCGGUUGGGGAUGGACUCGCGGCUUAUCAGCUUGUUGGUGGGGUAGUGGCUUACCAAGGCUUUGACGGGUAGCCGGCCUGAGAGGGUGACCGGCCACAUUGGGACUGAGAUACGGCCCAGACUCCUACGGGAGGCAGCAGUGGGGAAUAUUGCACAAUGGGCGGAAGCCUGAUGCAGCAACGCCGCGUGCGGGAUGACGGCCUUCGGGUUGUAAACCGCUUUCGCCUGUGACGAAGCGUGAGUGACGGUAAUGGGUAAAGAAGCACCGGCUAACUACGUGCCAGCAGCCGCGGUGAUACGUAGGGUGCGAGCGUUGUCCGGAUUUAUUGGGCGUAAAGGGCUCGUAGGUGGUUGAUCGCGUCGGAAGUGUAAUCUUGGGGCUUAACCCUGAGCGUGCUUUCGAUACGGGUUGACUUGAGGAAGGUAGGGGAGAAUGGAAUUCCUGGUGGAGCGGUGGAAUGCGCAGAUAUCCAGGAGGAACACCAGUGGCGAAGGCGGUUCUCUGGGCCUUUCCUGACGCUGAGGAGCGAAAGCGUGGGGAGCGAACAGGCUUAGAUACCCUGGUAGUCCACGCUGUAAACGGUGGGUACUAGGUGUGGGGUCCAUUCCACGGGUUCCGUGCCGUAGCUAACGCUUUAAGUACCCCGCCUGGGGAGUACGGCCGCAAGGCUAAAACUCAAAGGAAUUGACGGGGCCCCGCACAAGCGGCGGAGCAUGCGGAUUAAUUCGAUGCAACGCGUAGAACCUUACCUGGGUUUGACAUGGAUCGGGAGUGCUCAGAGAUGGGUGUGCCUCUUUUGGGGUCGGUUCACAGGUGGUGCAUGGCUGUCGUCAGCUCGUGUCGUGAGAUGUUGGGUUAAGUCCCGCAACGAGCGCAACCCUUGUUCACUGUUGCCAGCACGUUAUGGUGGGGACUCAGUGGAGACCGCCGGGGUCAACUCGGAGGAAGGUGGGGAUGACGUCAAGUCAUCAUGCCCCUUAUGUCCAGGGCUUCACGCAUGCUACAAUGGCUGGUACAGAGAGUGGCGAGCCUGUGAGGGUGAGCGAAUCUCGGAAAGCCGGUCUCAGUUCGGAUUGGGGUCUGCAACUCGACCUCAUGAAGUCGGAGUCGCUAGUAAUCGCAGAUCAGCAACGCUGCGGUGAAUACAUUCCCGGGGCU
Molecule: ribosomal RNA, 1347 nt
Filed under: uncultured bacterium
Lineage: Bacteria
Description: partial 16S ribosomal RNA
Rfam family: Bacterial small subunit ribosomal RNA
Source: RNAcentral